This 487-nucleotide ribosomal RNA is filed under the name uncultured Lachnospiraceae bacterium. RNAcentral's name for it is "partial 16S ribosomal RNA". Lineage: Bacteria; Bacillati; Bacillota; Clostridia; Lachnospirales; Lachnospiraceae. The record is from RNAcentral.
CACGUAGUUAGCCGGGGCUUCUUAGUCAGGUACCGUCAUUUUCUUCCCUGCUGAUAGAGCUUUACAUACCGAAAUACUUCUUCACUCACGCGGCGUCGCUGCAUCAGGGUUCCCCCAUUGUGCAAUAUUCCCCACUGCUGCCUCCCGUAGGAGUCUGGGCCGUGUCUCAGUCCCAAUGUGGCCGUCCACCCUCUCAGGCCGGCUACUGAUCGUCGCCUUGGUGGGCCGCUGCCCCGCCAACAAGCUAAUCAGACGCGGGCCCAUCGCAUACCACCGGAGUUUUUCACACCAAGCCAUGCGGCUCUGUGCGCUUAUGCGGUAUUAGCACCUAUUUCUAAGUGUUAUCCCCCGGUAUGCGGCAGGUUGCCCACGCGUUACUCACCCGUCCGCCACUAGGGCAGGAUUCACUAGGUUUCCUCCUGCCCCCGUUCGACUUGCAUGUGUUAAGCACGCCGCCAGCGUUCAUCCUGAGCCAGGAUCAAACUCU